RNAcentral lists this transfer RNA (72 nucleotides) under Sphaerodactylus townsendi. RNAcentral's name for it is "tRNA-Ala". It matches the Rfam family "tRNA". Rfam says of the family: Transfer RNA (tRNA) molecules are approximately 80 nucleotides in length. Their secondary structure includes four short double-helical elements and three loops (D, anti-codon, and T loops). Lineage: Eukaryota; Metazoa; Chordata; Lepidosauria; Squamata; Sphaerodactylidae. The record is from RNAcentral.
GGGGUUGUGGCUGUAUGGAAAAGCUUCUGCUUUGCAUGCAGAAGAUCCCAGAUUCAGACCCUGACAUAUCCA